ACCGUGAUAUUUCGUACAUGUACUAACGUCAUCACGCAGGAUUUAAUAUAUCAAUAAAAUGCGGAUAUACACGCGUACAUUGCUGUAUGUUCACAGAUGCAAUUAUAGCCUGCAAUUAUUUCUGUGAUACGUAGGAGUAUCGUUUUUCCUGAGCCCUCCAGUCUGCGAUAAUCCUACAGUAAAAGCUGCUAUUUGCAAUUCGUUCCAUAUGAGGAGAAUUUCUGUAUUUGCAUCGUGAUACUGUCUCUGAUGCUUGCUGCAUCCGCGCAGUCCACUUUACCACCGACUAAUUGCCAUUAAUUACGAUUGGACACGAUUUCACGGAAGGAAGAGCAGCUAUCCGUAGCACCAAGAUGAAGAAAUGUGUAAAAAAAAACACUAGAAAGUAGAAGAGGAAGAUGACAUUAAGGAUGACAAUUAUAAAGAAAGGCAAAAAAGAAAAAGAAGAAAAAAAAUGUGAAAGAUGGCACGUAUGUAUGUGGCGGACACAUAAUAUAUCGCAUGUCCCAAUCGAAAUGCCACCCCAUGUUCUAUUCACUCCUCUUUUACUCGAGGGUCUCCUAACACAACGAAUAGACCUGCCUGGAAAUAGUCUUAACCUGUUCUCUCUCUUUCUCAUCACAUAUGCACGCAUACAGCACGUACAAAUACCGCAUGGAAUGUAGUUCGCGUAAUAUUUAAUAAAGACAUAGGUUUCAGAUAUAUCAUUCACUUACGAUACAAUUUUAAAAGAUUUUGAUAUAAUAAAAACACUUGCCUAAAA
Molecule: long non-coding RNA, 763 nt
Organism: Wasmannia auropunctata (little fire ant)
Lineage: Eukaryota; Metazoa; Arthropoda; Insecta; Hymenoptera; Formicidae
Exons: 3
Source: RefSeq, a predicted model, not a curated record